Molecule: long non-coding RNA, 885 nt
Organism: Branchiostoma floridae (Florida lancelet)
Lineage: Eukaryota; Metazoa; Chordata; Leptocardii; Amphioxiformes; Branchiostomatidae
Exons: 3
Source: RefSeq, a predicted model, not a curated record
GUAUGACCUCCUUACCUGUAGAGAGUGAACUCUGUGUUGUCUGUACAGGUCACACGGCACAAGGGGGAAGACUCCUGCAGCCACUGGGCACCCUACAACAUAUACAAGACCGAUUGACCUUUUCUGUGACCUGGAAAUCGACCCUGGCCACAGUCUUCCCAUCAGCCAUCAGUGGAUGUGAGGCCGCCAGUGUCACAAUACAGACCCUAAGGCAACAGGCAUUUCAAUAAAAAUUGACACAUUGUCAAGUCAUAUCAUCCUAUAUCCACAAACAUAUCAACAUUCUGGUGUUGACUUCACCAGGAUAGCAUGAUGAAAUAUGUAGACGUAUUACUAGUAAUGGAUACAGAGCAAUUUCUCAUUUUUCAUUGAAUGUGCUUUCUAGAUUUAGUAUCUUCAGAUAGAAUAGAAUGUUUUUGAUGAAAUGGCUUUUCUGCUGUUAGUUAAACCUGUACUACUAGACAACUGCUAUAGAAGGAUUAUGUGGUCAUUGCAGCCUUUUUUGGUGGUCCCUUAGAUAAUUUUCCCCAUUGACCCCAGCAUUAAGAAGCCUGUCUGUAUUGACCACAUUGUACCUGUCUGGUGAGGGGCACAGUCAAAUUGUUCCUACUGCAAUUUCUCUUGGUCAACAUUUUGUAAGCGUAUUUGGAACUAGGGAUUUAUAAAACCAAGCAAAUGUAGUUCAUUUAUGAAGCCUUGAUGAAGAAACGAUGAUUCAAUAUUCAUCUCUAGUAAGCUAAGGGGUGAGGCUGGCAUGGGGGUGUGGAAACAGAAAUUGUACCACAGCACCCCCUAUCUGCUACAAACGGUAUUACCUCAAAUUGCACCUGUUAAUUUACUUGAAAUAUUACCAGUCAAGUUAUGUUAUCUCUAGUGUAUGCAAUG